GCCCCUGUAGCUCAGCGGAACCAGAGCACCGGACUACGAAUCCGGGUUGGCGGAAGUUCGAAUCUUUCCAGGGUACCA
Molecule: transfer RNA, 78 nt
Filed under: Olavius algarvensis Delta 1 endosymbiont
Lineage: Bacteria; Deltaproteobacteria
Description: tRNA-Arg-ACG
Rfam family: tRNA
About the family: Transfer RNA (tRNA) molecules are approximately 80 nucleotides in length. Their secondary structure includes four short double-helical elements and three loops (D, anti-codon, and T loops). Further hydrogen bonds mediate the characteristic L-shaped molecular structure. tRNAs have two regions of fundamental functional importance: the anti-codon, which is responsible for specific mRNA codon recognition, and the 3' end, to which the tRNAs corresponding amino acid is attached (by aminoacyl-tRNA synthetases). tRNAs cope with the degeneracy of the genetic code in two manners: having more than one tRNA (with a specific anti-codon) for a particular amino acid; and 'wobble' base-pairing, i.e. permitting non-standard base-pairing at the 3rd anti-codon position.
Source: RNAcentral